AACCACCUCAACGUCGGUAUCGCC
RNAcentral lists this non-coding RNA (24 nucleotides) under Cricetulus griseus (Chinese hamster). The record is from RNAcentral. Lineage: Eukaryota; Metazoa; Chordata; Mammalia; Rodentia; Cricetidae.